CCUACGGGUGGCAGCAGUGGGGAAUAUUGGGCAAUGGGCGCAAGCCUGACCCAGCAAUGCCGCGUGAAGGAAGAAGUCUUUCGGGUUGUAAACUUCUUUGACAGGGGAAGAGCAGAAGACGGUACCCUGAAAACAAGCCACGGCUAACUACGUGCCAGCAGCCGCGGUAAUACGUAGGUGGCAAGCGUUGUCCGGAUUUACUGGGUGUAAAGGGCGUGUAGCCGGGAAGGCAAGUCAGAUGUGAAAUCUGGAGGCUCAACCUCCAAAUUGCAUUUGAAACUGUUUGUCUUGAGUGCUGGAGAGGCGGACGGAAUUCCAUGUGUAGCGGUGAAAUGCGUAGAUAUAAGGAGGAACACCAGUGGCGAAGGCGGUCUGCUGGACUGCAACUGACGGUGAGGCUCGAAAGCGUGGGUAGCAAACAGGAUUAGAUACCCGGGUAGUC
Molecule: ribosomal RNA, 442 nt
Filed under: uncultured bacterium
Lineage: Bacteria
Description: partial 16S ribosomal RNA
Rfam family: Bacterial small subunit ribosomal RNA
Source: RNAcentral